This 71-nucleotide transfer RNA is filed under the name Etrocorema hochii. RNAcentral's name for it is "tRNA-Ser". It matches the Rfam family "tRNA". From Rfam's summary of the family: Transfer RNA (tRNA) molecules are approximately 80 nucleotides in length. Their secondary structure includes four short double-helical elements and three loops (D, anti-codon, and T loops). Lineage: Eukaryota; Metazoa; Arthropoda; Insecta; Plecoptera; Perlidae. The record is from RNAcentral.
AAUUAAUUAGCUUAAUUAAAAAGCAUGUGUUUUGAAAGCACAAAAAAGAAGUUUAAUCCUUCUAUUAAUUU